CGUCAAAUCAUCAUGCCCCUUAUGACCUGGGCUACACACGUGCUACAAUGGAUAGUACAAAGGGUCGCGAAGCCGCGAGGUGGAGCUAAUCCCAUAAAACUAUUCUCAGUUCGGAUUGUAGGCUGCAACUCGCCUACAUGAAGCCGGAAUCGCUAGUAAUCGUGGAUCAGCAUGCCACGGUGAAUACGUUCCCGGGCCUUGUACACACCGCCCGUCACACCACGAGAGUUUGUAACACCCGAAGUCGGUAGGGUAACCUUUAUGGAGCCAGCCGCCGAAGGUGGGACAGAUAAUUGGGGUGAAGUCGUAACAAGGUAGCCGUAUCGGAAGGUGCGGCUGGAUCACCUCCUUUCUAAGGAA
This 360-nucleotide ribosomal RNA is filed under the name Listeria monocytogenes. RNAcentral describes it as "bacterial SSU rRNA". It matches the Rfam family "Bacterial small subunit ribosomal RNA", at positions 1183 to 1533 of the family's 1533-position model. Lineage: Bacteria; Bacillati; Bacillota; Bacilli; Caryophanales; Listeriaceae. The record is from RNAcentral.